Long non-coding RNA from Drosophila suzukii, 370 nucleotides. RefSeq lists it as uncharacterized. NCBI's taxonomy places the organism in Eukaryota, Metazoa, Arthropoda, Insecta, Diptera, Drosophilidae. The record is from RefSeq and is a predicted model, not a curated record.
UUACAAUCGUCUUUUUUCGGAACUGUUCUCUUGACAAACAAAUAAUAAAGACAAAAGGGAACAUGCAAGGAAGCGAGCGGUUUUUCUUGUCUCUUGCAUUUCUCGUCAGUUGCAUUUUUAGUUCUGAAAAGUGAAGUUCGUGCCACGUGUUUUGAAAAAGUUUGUUGCUUUCUGCCACCAAUUUUACAUCAAUAUUUUCACAGAAUCGCAAAAAAUGAAUGGGCACACCAAGGACUGAACUGCGUAAAUGACAAAAGUACAUAAACAAGAAGGAAGCACCAAAGCACCGUACAGAAGGGGAGUUACUCCGAUUAAAAAUUAGUUGCGUUUUUGAAUAUUGAAAUGAAAAUAAAUAUGAAAUUGAAAUCCA